Molecule: long non-coding RNA, 165 nt
Organism: Sinocyclocheilus rhinocerous
Lineage: Eukaryota; Metazoa; Chordata; Actinopteri; Cypriniformes; Cyprinidae
Exons: 3
Source: RefSeq, a predicted model, not a curated record
UGCCCUAGACGGUGGUCCUGACCUGGUGGUCUCUGUUCAGAGACUCGCUGUACUACAUCUUCUCAGUGCUGGCCUUGAUUUUGGUUAUUUAUGAUGAAAGAGUUGUAUGGUGGGAAUCAGUGCUUCUGAUCUCCAUGUAUGGAGUCUACAUCCUUAUCAUGAAGU